Molecule: ribosomal RNA, 467 nt
Filed under: uncultured bacterium
Lineage: Bacteria
Description: partial 16S ribosomal RNA
Rfam family: Bacterial small subunit ribosomal RNA
Source: RNAcentral
GAUGAACGCUGGCGGCGCGCCUAACACAUGCCAGUCGAACGAUUAAAGCACCUUCGGGUGUGUAUAAAGUGGCGAACGGCUGAGUAACACGUGGGCAACCUGCCCCUUUCAUUGGGAUAGCCACGGGAAACCGUGGAUAAUACCGAAUACUUCGAGACUUCCGCAUGGAAGACUCGAGAAAGCUCCGGCGGAGAGGGAUGGGCCCGCGGCCUGUUAGCUUGUUGGUGGGGUAACGGCCUACCAAGGCAAUGAUGGGUAGCUGGGUUGAGAGACCGACCAGCCAGAUUGGGACUGAGACACGGCCCAGACUCCUACGGGAGGCAGCAGUGGGGAAUCUUGCACAAUGGGCGAAAGCCUGAUGCAGCGACGCCGCGUGCGGGAUGAAGGCCUUCGGGUUGUAAACCGCUUUCAGCAGGGACGAGGCGAAAGUGACGGUACCUUCAGAAGAAGCCCCGGCUAACUACGUG